GUAGCCUUCAUAGCUCCACUCCACUGUUGGAGCUUUUUUUUUCUUCUGCCUCACAAACAGUUUUCUCAAUGGAGUUGAAUCUGUUUUGUUAAAACGGUUCCUAGUAGAUGAAAAUGUUAAAACGAUUAUACUACCCUCCUAUUUCUGUCACUUUUUUUUUCUCUCUGUUCUCCUUUCUCCCGAAAACUCCCUCAUCAUCUCUCUUUGGUGGUUGCACGCCCUCCUAGUGGUCGUGCUGAGUGCGACGGUGACCACACUCCGGUCCUAGCGGGCUCGCCCUGGAUCGGUGGUGAGCUAUGUGUCGCAAUGGCCGUGCCCCAAUAGUCGCGCUACGAUGGCCCGCACACCCGUCCUCAUGUGGGUAGGAGCAAAUUUGACAUGCA
This 383-nucleotide long non-coding RNA is filed under the name Sorghum bicolor (sorghum). RNAcentral describes it as "long non-coding RNA (SBIC_LNC013184)". Lineage: Eukaryota; Viridiplantae; Streptophyta; Magnoliopsida; Poales; Poaceae. The record is from RNAcentral.